GACGAACGCUGGCGGCGUGCUUAACACAUGCAGGUCGAACGGAAAGGCCCUGCUUUUGUGGGGUGCUCGAGUGGCGAACGGGUGAGUAACACGUGAGUAACCUGCCCUUGACUUUGGGAUAACUUCAGGAAACUGGGGCUAAUACCGGAUAGGAGCUCCUGCUGCAUGGUGGGGGUUGGAAAGUUUCGGCGGUUGGGGAUGGACUCGCGGCUUAUCAGCUUGUUGGUGGGGUAGUGGCUUACCAAGGCUUUGACGGGUAGCCGGCCUGAGAGGGUGACCGGCCACAUUGGGACUGAGAUACGGCCCAGACUCCUACGGGAGGCAGCAGUGGGGAAUAUUGCACAAUGGGCGGAAGCCUGAUGCAGCAACGCCGCGUGCGGGAUGACGGCCUUCGGGUUGUAAACCGCUUUCGCCUGUGACGAAGCGUGAGUGACGGUAAUGGGUAGAGAAGCACCGGCUAACUACGUG
RNAcentral lists this ribosomal RNA (468 nucleotides) under uncultured bacterium. RNAcentral's name for it is "partial 16S ribosomal RNA". It matches the Rfam family "Bacterial small subunit ribosomal RNA", at positions 28 to 507 of the family's 1533-position model. The record is from RNAcentral.